AGUUCGGAUUGCAGGCUGCAACCCGCCUGUAUGAAGUUGGAAUCGCUAGUAAUCGCGGAUCAGCAUGCCGCGGUGAAUACGUUCCCGGGCCUUGUACACACCGCCCGUCACACCAUGAGAGUCGGGAACACCCGAAGUCCGUAGCCUAACCGCGAAGGGGGGCGCGGCCGAAGGUGGGUUCGAUAAUUGGGGUGAAGUCGUAACAAGGUAUC
RNAcentral lists this ribosomal RNA (212 nucleotides) under uncultured bacterium. RNAcentral describes it as "partial 16S ribosomal RNA". It matches the Rfam family "Bacterial small subunit ribosomal RNA", at positions 1290 to 1500 of the family's 1533-position model. The record is from RNAcentral.